RNAcentral lists this unclassified non-coding RNA (331 nucleotides) under soil metagenome. RNAcentral's name for it is "partial contains 5.8S ribosomal RNA, internal transcribed spacer 2, and large subunit ribosomal RNA". The stretch from base 1 to 120 matches the Rfam family "5.8S ribosomal RNA", at positions 35 to 154 of the family's 154-position model. The record is from RNAcentral.
GAUGAAGAACGUAGCGAAAUGCGAUAAGUAAUGUGAAUUGCAGAAUUCAGUGAAUCAUCGAAUCUUUGAACGCACAUUGCGCCCCCUGGUAUUCCGGGGGGCAUGCCUGUUCGAGCGUCAUUUCACCACUCAAGCCUCGCUUGGUAUUGGGCAACGCGGUCCGCCGCGUGCCUCAAAUCGACCGGCUGGGUCUUCUGUCCCCUAAGCGUUGUGGAAACUAUUCGCUAAAGGGUGUUCGGGAGGCUACGCCGUAAAACAACCCCAUUUCUAAGGUUGACCUCGGAUCAGGUAGGGAUACCUGCUGAACUUAAGCAUAUCAAUAAGCGGAGGA